GUAUCGUGCGGUGCAUCUUGGGGUUGUACAUGGCUUUCAGUUGUUCGCUUGGCUUUAUAGCCUCGCWGGCGGCUGCUUAGCUUGGCGACUUCGGGGAUGUCUACCGUAAAGGUGCAUGAGUGGUGAUUGGUUUGAUACGGGUGGUCGGCUCCCUGCUUGUGCAGGCACGGCCAUGCGUGCAUUCCUUUUCAGAUGUACGACAAGACUUUCAUCGCCUUGAUCGUAAGUUGGUUUCCUGUGUUGCGUACCUGAUCAAUGGUAUUGUUUCGAUAGAAAGCGUCCCAUAUUCCUCUUGCGAUGCUUCGGCAUUGUUAGAUGAACCGCGUAUCAUCUUCUUUGAUCCAUACAUUUGACGUGUAAAUCGUUGUUUGUUUGGGUGGUUGAAGGUGUAUUGGUGUCUCGGAUAUGGAAGCCAAAGUAGGCAUGGUUCUGAAAAAUCCAUUUGUUGCCUUUAUUGAGCGGUUGUCGCUUCUCUCACACGACUGCCUUUCACGUAUGGCACGUCCCAGCGUGUUUGGCUAUGUCGAAGAGGAA
RNAcentral lists this unclassified non-coding RNA (534 nucleotides) under Chaetopappa ericoides. RNAcentral describes it as "partial external transcribed spacer". Lineage: Eukaryota; Viridiplantae; Streptophyta; Magnoliopsida; Asterales; Asteraceae. The record is from RNAcentral.